RNAcentral lists this ribosomal RNA (453 nucleotides) under uncultured Scleroderma. Its description in RNAcentral is "eukaryotic LSU rRNA". The stretch from base 24 to 178 matches the Rfam family "5.8S ribosomal RNA". Lineage: Eukaryota; Fungi; Basidiomycota; Agaricomycetes; Boletales; Sclerodermataceae. The record is from RNAcentral.
GACCGAGAGAAAAGCUAUGAUACAACUUUCAGCGAUGGAUCUCUUGGCUCUCGCAUCGAUGAAGAACGCAGCGAAUCGCGAUAAGUAAUGUGAAUUGCAGAUCUUCCGUGAAUCAUCGAAUCUUUGAACGCACCUUGCGCUCCUCGGUAUUCCGAGGAGCAUGCCUGUUUGAGUGUCAUCGAAGCCCUCGGAUCGAGAGUUCGACCCCGUCGAAGCUCGGUCCGGAUCAUGGGAGUCUGCGGGCGAGCUUCGUGCUUCGUCCGCUCUCCUCAAAAGCAUUAGCUGUGGGCACGAGACUUGCAUGGCACGGCCUCUUCGACGUCGUAACGAUCGUCGCGGGCUGGAAGUGCAUGGCUCGACGGGUCCAUGCUUGACCUCGGGUGGUCGCACCCCGAUCGAAGCUUGACCUCAAAUCAGGUAGGACUACCCGCCGAACUUAAGCAUAUCAAUAAG